This 656-nucleotide ribosomal RNA is filed under the name uncultured Bacteroidota bacterium. RNAcentral describes it as "bacterial SSU rRNA". It matches the Rfam family "Bacterial small subunit ribosomal RNA", at positions 29 to 693 of the family's 1533-position model. The record is from RNAcentral. Lineage: Bacteria; Pseudomonadati; Bacteroidota.
AUGAACGCUAGCGGCAGGCCUAAUACAUGCAAGUCAAGGGGCCCAGCAAUGGGCACCGGCGCACGGGUGCGUAACGCGUACAUAAACUACCCUGAAGAGGGGGAUAGCAUCGGGAAACUGGUGGUAAUACCCCAUGAGCUUACGAAGUGGCAUUACUUUGUAAGGAAAGUUCAAGCGCUUUGGGAUGGAUGUGCGUCCGAUUAGCUAGUUGGCGGGGUAACGGCCCACCAAGGCGACGAUCGGUAGGGGGUGUGAGAGCAUGACCCCCCACACGGGUACUGAGACACGGACCCGACUCCUACGGGAGGCAGCAGUAAGGAAUAUUGGACAAUGGAGGGAACUCUGAUCCAGCCAUGCCGCGUGAAGGAUGAAGGCGCUCAGCGUUGUAAACUUCUUUUGAAUGGGAACAAAUGACGGGAUUCAUCUCGUUUUGAGGGUACCAUUAGAAUAAGCACCGGCUAACUCCGUGCCAGCAGCCGCGGUAAUACGGAGGGUGCAAGCGUUAUCCGGAAUCACUGGGUUUAAAGGGUGCGUACGCGGCUAUGUAAGUCAGUUGUGAAAUACCUCGGCUUAACCGAAGGAAGUGCGAUUGAUACUGCGUAGCUUGAAUCAGGUUGAGGAAGGCGGAAUGUGACCUGUAGCGGUGAGAUGCUUAA